This 402-nucleotide small RNA is filed under the name Pongo abelii (Sumatran orangutan). RNAcentral's name for it is "retained intron". The record is from RNAcentral. Lineage: Eukaryota; Metazoa; Chordata; Mammalia; Primates; Hominidae.
AAGUCGUGCCUCUGUGUCCCUGCCUGUCUGUCCGUCCUCUGCGCCGGUUUCGGGCUCGAGCAGGGACUGGGUCUUCUGAGUAAAACGCCUCCUCCCUGCUCAGUUCUGGCAGCUUUUUAACGCGCUGACGUUGUUCAACCUGGCCCGGGACCCUCAGUGCAAGGAGUGGCAGGGUUGUGCACCAGAAGUUUCACAGUCAGCGGCAUGGCAGCAAGAAGGAUUGAGGCUGGGCCUUCCCCUGCUGGCCCAGAGGGGCUUCUGUCCUGUGUUGUGGGAGGGGAUGGGAGGUGCCCCUCGAGUGUGCGUGUAUCAGGGGGUCUCUUCUAUUCUCCCUUGGGUUUUAUGGGCUCUGUGGGCCCUGAAGGAAGACCUGGGCCCAGUGCCCUCAAUAAAGAGAGGCCC